This 422-nucleotide ribosomal RNA is filed under the name uncultured bacterium. Its description in RNAcentral is "partial 16S ribosomal RNA". It matches the Rfam family "Bacterial small subunit ribosomal RNA", at positions 360 to 774 of the family's 1533-position model. The record is from RNAcentral.
AAUUUUGGACAAUGGGCGAAACCCUGAUCCAGCCAUCCCGCGUGUAUGAUGAAGGCUUUCGGGUUGUAAAGUACUUUUGGCAGAGAAGAAAAGGUAUCUCCUAAUACGAGAUACUGCUGACGGUAUCUGCAGAAUAAGCACCGGCUAACUACUUGCCACCAGCGGCGGUAAUACGUAGGGUGCAGACGUUAAUAGGAAUUACUGGGCGUAAAGCAUGUGUAGGCGGUUCGGAAAGAAAGAUGUGAUAACCCAGGGCUCAACCUUGGAACUGCAUUUUUAACUGCCGAGCUAGAGUAUGUCAGAGGAGGGUAGAAUUCCACGUGUAGCAGUGAAAUGCGUAGAUAUGUGGAGGAAUACCGAUGGCGAAGGCAGCCCCCUGGGAUAAUACUGACGCUCAGACACGAAAGCGUGGGGAGCAAACA